RNAcentral lists this ribosomal RNA (717 nucleotides) under Bacillus sp. GWS-TZ-H236. RNAcentral describes it as "bacterial SSU rRNA". It matches the Rfam family "Bacterial small subunit ribosomal RNA", at positions 47 to 744 of the family's 1533-position model. The record is from RNAcentral. Lineage: Bacteria; Bacillati; Bacillota; Bacilli; Caryophanales; Bacillaceae. RNAcentral also lists the same sequence under 1 other name.
CCUAAUACAUGCAAGUCGAGCGAAUGGAUUAAGAGCUUGCUCUUAUGAAGUUAGCGGCGGACGGGUGAGUAACACGUGGGUAACCUACCCAUAAGACUGGGAUAACUCCGGGAAACCGGGGCUAAUACCGGAUAAUAUUUUGAACUGCAUAGUUCGAAAUUGAAAGGCGGCUUCGGCUGUCACUUAUGGAUGGACCCGCGUCGCAUUAGCUAGUUGGUGAGGUAACGGCUCACCAAGGCAACGAUGCGUAGCCGACCUGAGAGGGUGAUCGGCCACACUGGGACUGAGACACGGCCCAGACUCCUACGGGAGGCAGCAGUAGGGAAUCUUCCGCAAUGGACGAAAGUCUGACGGAGCAACGCCGCGUGAGUGAUGAAGGCUUUCGGGUCGUAAAACUCUGUUGUUAGGGAAGAACAAGUGCUAGUUGAAUAAGCUGGCACCUUGACGGUACCUAACCAGAAAGCCACGGCUAACUACGUGCCAGCAGCCGCGGUAAUACGUAGGUGGCAAGCGUUAUCCGGAAUUAUUGGGCGUAAAGCGCGCGCAGGUGGUUUCUUAAGUCUGAUGUGAAAGCCCACGGCUCAACCGUGGAGGGUCAUUGGAAACUGGGAGACUUGAGUGCAGAAGAGGAAAGUGGAAUUCCAUGUGUAGCGGUGAAAUGCGUAGAGAUAUGGAGGAACACCAGUGGCGAAGGCGACUUUCUGGUCUGUAACUGAC